RNAcentral lists this unclassified non-coding RNA (200 nucleotides) under Inocybe sp. RNAcentral describes it as "partial internal transcribed spacer 2". The record is from RNAcentral. Lineage: Eukaryota; Fungi; Basidiomycota; Agaricomycetes; Agaricales; Inocybaceae.
UUAAGUUCAGCGGGUAGUCCUACCUGAUUUGAGGUCAAAUUCAUCAAACAUGUUUCUUUUUUUAGAAGCGGCGAAUGCAGCAUACCAGGGGCAUAGAUAAAUUUAUCACACCCAUAGUGCUCAGAAUACCACUAAUUCAUUUCAGGAGAGCCGACUUUUUAAAGCCUGCAAACCCACAUCCAAAAGCCACACCGAAAGGA